RNAcentral lists this ribosomal RNA (253 nucleotides) under uncultured bacterium. Its description in RNAcentral is "partial 16S ribosomal RNA". It matches the Rfam family "Bacterial small subunit ribosomal RNA", at positions 524 to 776 of the family's 1533-position model. The record is from RNAcentral.
UACGUAGGUGGCAAGCGUUAUCCGGAUUUAUUGGGCGUAAAGGGAACGCAGGCGGUCUUUUAAGUCUGAUGUGAAAGCCUUCGGCUUAACCGGAGUAGUGCAUUGGAAACUGGGAGACUUGAGUGCAGAAGAGGAGAGUGGAACUCCAUGUGUAGCGGUGAAAUGCGUAGAUAUAUGGAAGAACAUCAGUGGCGAAAGCGGCUCUCUGGUCUGUAACUGACGCUGAGGUUCGAAAGCGUGGGUAGCAAACAGG